RNAcentral lists this ribosomal RNA (1371 nucleotides) under metagenome. Its description in RNAcentral is "bacterial LSU rRNA". It matches the Rfam family "Bacterial large subunit ribosomal RNA", at positions 1569 to 2925 of the family's 2925-position model. The record is from RNAcentral.
UGUAGCCGUAGCGGCGAAAUCCAUGAUCCUAUGCUGCCGAGAAAAGCCUCUAGCGAGCUGGUACAUGGCCCGUACCCCAAACCGACACAGGUGGUCGGGUAGAGAAUACUAAGGCGAUCGAGAGAACUGUGGUUAAGGAACUCGGCAAAAUGCCCCCGUAACUUCGGGAGAAGGGGGACCAGUCCUGGUGACGACAUUUACUGUCUGAGCUGGGGUUGGUCGCAGAGACCAGAGAGAAGCGACUGUUUACUAAAAACACAGGUCCGUGCGAAGUCGUAAGACGAUGUAUACGGACUGACGCCUGCCCGGUGCUGGAAGGUUAAGAGGACCGGUCAGCCACUUCGGUGGCGAAGCUGAGAAUUUAAGCCCCAGUAAACGGCGGUGGUAACUAUAACCAUCCUAAGGUAGCGAAAUUCCUUGUCGGGUAAGUUCCGACCUGCACGAAUGGCGUAACGACUUCUCUGCUGUCUCAACCACAGACUCGGCGAAAUUGCAGUACGAGUAAAGAUGCUCGUUACGCGCGGCAGGACGAAAAGACCCCGGGACCUUCACUAUAGCUUGGUAUUGGUGUUCGGUUCGGUUUGUGUAGGAUAGGUGGGAGACUGUGAAACUCGCACGCCAGUGUGGGUGGAGUCAUUGUUGAAAUACCACUCUGACCGUAUUGGACAUCUAACCUCGGACCAUGAUCUGGUUCAGGGACAGUGCCUGGUGGGUAGUUUAACUGGGGCGGUUGCCUCCUAAAAAGUAACGGAGGCGCCCAAAGGUUCCCUCAGCCUGGUUGGCAAUCAGGUGUUGAGUGUAAGUGCACAAGGGAGCUUGACUGUGAGACGUACAUGUCGAGCAGGGACGAAAGUCGGGACUAGUGAUCCGGCACCGGCAAGUGGAAGCGGUGUCGCUCAACGGAUAAAAGGUACCCCGGGGAUAACAGGCUGAUCUUCCCCAAGAGUCCAUAUCGACGGGAUGGUUUGGCACCUCGAUGUCGGCUCGUCGCAUCCUGGGGCUGGAGUAGGUCCCAAGGGUUGGGCUGUUCGCCCAUUAAAGCGGCACGCGAGCUGGGUUUAGAACGUCGUGAGACAGUUCGGUCUCUAUCCGCCGCGCGCGUAAGAAACUUGAGGAAACCUGUCCCUAGUACGAGAGGACCGGGACGGACGAACCUCUGGUGUGCCAGUUGUUCCACCAGGAGCACCGCUGGUUAGCUACGUUCGGAAGGGAUAACCGCUGAAAGCAUCUAAGCGGGAAGCCUGUUCCAAGAUGAGGUUUCUCACCACCUAGCGUGGUUAAGGCCCCCCACAGACCAUGGGGUUGAUAGGCCAGAACUGUAAGCACAGCAAUGUGUUCAGGUGACUGGUACUAAUCGGCCGAGGACUUACC